Pelobates cultripes (western spadefoot toad) is the source of this 239-nucleotide non-coding RNA. Lineage: Eukaryota; Metazoa; Chordata; Amphibia; Anura; Pelobatidae. The record is from the annotation of a GenBank genome assembly.
AUAAAGUUAGUCAUGGUCUAUCAGAGGCCAGCUGUUUCACUGGUGUUUCCCUGCAUUUACCCAUGGGCCAUCACCAAUAUAAUGGGUUUGGCUGGGCUGUCAAUAUCAUGUUUAGUGAAUAAACUCCUAUUGAUAUUUAUUUGAUAAACCUGAGAAUUAUGAAGAAUUGUCAAGUAAAUGUUUGCCGAUAUAUUCAGAGGAGAAGAGAUGUAAAGAGAUCACUAUAAAGAUAAACGAGU